AGGCCUAACACAUGCAAGUCGAGCGGAAGAGAGAAGCUUGCUCCUCUAUACAGCGGCGGACGGGUGAGUAAUGCCUAGGAAUCUGCCUGGUAGUGGGGGAUAACGUUCCGAAAGGGACGCUAAUACCGCAUACGUCCUACGGGAGAAAGCAGGGGACCUUCGGGCCUUGCGCUAUCAGAUGAGCCUAGGUCGGAUUAGCUAGUUGGUGAGGUAAUGGCUCACCAAGGCGACGAUCCGUAACUGGUCUGAGAGGAUGAUCAGUCACACUGGAACUGAGACACGGUCCAG
RNAcentral lists this ribosomal RNA (288 nucleotides) under Pseudomonas sp. FC40. RNAcentral's name for it is "partial 16S ribosomal RNA". It matches the Rfam family "Bacterial small subunit ribosomal RNA", at positions 46 to 334 of the family's 1533-position model. Lineage: Bacteria; Pseudomonadati; Pseudomonadota; Gammaproteobacteria; Pseudomonadales; Pseudomonadaceae. The record is from RNAcentral.